This 497-nucleotide ribosomal RNA is filed under the name uncultured bacterium. RNAcentral describes it as "partial 16S ribosomal RNA". It matches the Rfam family "Bacterial small subunit ribosomal RNA", at positions 28 to 507 of the family's 1533-position model. The record is from RNAcentral.
GAUGAACGCUGGCGGCGUGCCUAAUACAUGCAAGUCGAGCGAACAGACGAGGAGCUUGCUCCUCUGACGUUAGCGGCGGACGGGUGAGUAACACGUGGAUAACCUACCUAUAAGACUGGGAUAACUUCGGGAAACCGGAGCUAAUACCGGAUAAUAUAUUGAACCGCAUGGUUCAAUAGUGAAAGACGGUUUUGCUGUCACUUAUAGAUGGAUCCGCGCCGCAUUAGCUAGUUGGUAAGGUAACGGCUUACCAAGGCGACGAUGCGUAGCCGACCUGAGAGGGUGAUCGGCCACACUGGAACUGAGACACGGUCCAGACUCCUACGGGAGGCAGCAGUAGGGAAUCUUCCGCAAUGGGCGAAAGCCUGACGGAGCAACGCCGCGUGAGUGAUGAAGGGCUUCGGAUCGUAAAACUCUGUUAUUAGGGAAGAACAAAUGUGUAAGUAAAUAUGCACGUCUUGACGGUACCUAAUCAGAAAGCCACGGCUAACUACGUG